AGUGAACGCUGGCGGUAGGCCUAACACAUGCAAGUCGAACGGCAGCACAGUAAGAGCUUGCCCUUACGGGUGGCGAGUGGCGGACGGGUGAGGAAUACAUCGGAAUCUACUUUUUCGUGGGGGAUAACGUAGGGAAACUUACGCUAAUACCGCAUACGACCUACGGGUGAAAGCAGGGGAUCUUCGGACCUUGCGCGAUUGAAUGAGCCGAUGUCGGAUUAGCUAGUUGGCGGGGUAAAGGCCCACCAAGGCGACGAUCCGUAGCUGGUCUGGGAGGAUGAUCAGCCACACUGGAACUGAGACACGGUCCAGACGCCUACGGGAGGCAGCAGUGGGGAAUAUUGGACAAUGGGCGCAAGCCUGAUCCAGCCAUACCGCGUGGGUGAAGAAGGCCUUCGGGUUGUAAAGCCCUUUUGUUGGGAAAGAAAAGCAGCAGGUUAAUACCCCGCUGUUCUGACGGUACCCAAAGAAUAAGCACCGGCUAACUUCGUG
Molecule: ribosomal RNA, 492 nt
Filed under: uncultured bacterium
Lineage: Bacteria
Description: partial 16S ribosomal RNA
Rfam family: Bacterial small subunit ribosomal RNA
Source: RNAcentral